AUACGGAGGAUGCGAGCGUUAUCCGGAUUUAUUGGGUUUAAAGGGUGCGUAGGCGGGCUGUCAAGUCUGUGGUGAAAAGUCAGGGCUUAACCUUGAUCGUGCCGCGGAAACUGACGGUCUUGAAUAGGGAUGCCGUUGGCGGCAUGUGGAGUGUAGCGGUGAAAUGCAUAGAUAUUCCACAGAACACCGAUUGCGAAGGCAGCUGACGAAUCCCAGAUUGACGCUGAUGCACUAAAGUGCGAGUAUCGAACAGGAGUAGAUUCGCUAGUAGUCCGCACAGUAAACGAUGAUAACGAAUUGUUGGCGAUAAACAGAUCUAUAACUGAUCGAAAGCGUUAAAUUAUCCGCCUGGGGAGUACGUCCGCAAGAGUGAAACUGAAAGGAAUUGACUGUG
RNAcentral lists this ribosomal RNA (394 nucleotides) under uncultured bacterium. RNAcentral's name for it is "partial 16S ribosomal RNA". It matches the Rfam family "Bacterial small subunit ribosomal RNA", at positions 523 to 918 of the family's 1533-position model. The record is from RNAcentral.